Long non-coding RNA from Protobothrops mucrosquamatus (brown spotted pit viper), 1148 nucleotides. RefSeq lists it as uncharacterized. The record is from RefSeq and is a predicted model, not a curated record. The transcript is spliced from 3 exons. NCBI's taxonomy places the organism in Eukaryota, Metazoa, Chordata, Lepidosauria, Squamata, Viperidae.
AAGUGAACUGAGGCGAGAUGGAAGUUGCCAGUGCGAAAAAGCAGCCGCUUGAUUUACUGCUCCCCGCUGGAGCAGAGGUCAUGGGCCAAACCACUACUUCUAAAAGUCACAAGAAUAUUGAUGCAACUUUUAAAACUUUCAACAGUUGGUUGCAAUUGAAAAUGCACAGCAGAAAUAAAUUAGGGAGACAGACGACGCCAAGAACAAUGAAAACCAUAAAAGAACAGAAGAAUUUGAAGCCAAAUCGUUAAAUGAUAGAAAAUGUACGUAGAUGAAACUCCAAAUGCAAGAUUUACCUGGAAUUAAUCACUUCUCAGACUUCCCUGAAGAAUUCAGAAAGAUCAGGAUCCAAAAAUAUCCUAUAAUGAGCUCAAAACAUGAGCAUGUUGCUGUAAGCAAGUGAUUCUAAUUGCAUUGGAAAUUUUAAAUAAUGGAUAAAUAUAUCAGGCAUAAUUCAUCUCUAGUAAUUUUUAGUCAUGCACAUGAUCACAUGAAAUAAAUUAGUAGCAAUUCCUGACUUCUUGUUUUAAGCUGUUACAUUUGUAUAAAUUAUUCUGGAAUUGCUUUAUGUUCAUCUAUGGAUCAUACAGAUCCUCCAUUCUAGUUUCAUUUGGAAGUACUGCAUGUAGCCCACCAAUAAUUUAAUAUAAUCAUUUUAUUGCCAUCCAUUUUUAAAAAAUAUGUUUAUCUUUUAUUAAAAAAUGUUUAUCUUUUAUAAAAUAUUCAUGUUGUUGUUUUGCCUAGGAAGGUCAAUGGAUUUUAAUUGACUUACUCUUAUUUUUGAGCUCAGAAAUGAGCAAUUUUUUGAUAGCCAAGAGGCAUAAUAAACUUUUUUUUUUGAGUGAUCAAGCGCCACAGUGAGUAGUAAAAUGUUGCAAAAUGAACAGGAGCAGAACGUUACAGAGGAUUUGGAUAAUGGAAGAGUUUGCUCCAUUAAAAAACUUAUUAAGCCUAUUUUAAAGAUUAGAUAGAACAUUUCCUAUGUAAAUAUUGUCACAAACUAUUUCAUCAGUUUUCAGCUUUUGCAGUCAGAAACAGCAAUAAGACCACAAAAAUAGGAUUUGGAGGCACAUAAUCACAUACAGUUAAGAUUUUUGACAGUUAAUGAUGUAAAUAUAAAACAAAACAAUCAAGUAUAAUAAAGGCAU